UGUUUACUCCAUUGGUUUGAUGUUCUGUCACUUCCGGUUGACUGUGACUGUUCUCAAUGCGUUAGCGAUACUAAAGUUCUAUAAGAACAUGUUUCAAUAUAGAACAAACGCACACUAAUAUUAAUAAAUAUACUGGCCAAUAUAAUAUAAAGCUUUUUAACCUGCAGGUAAAGUUCGGCAUUUUACACUUAGAAAAGUUGCUAUGUUUUCUCAGCGUUACGACCUACUAUACUAGUAGAGUUUAUGAUUAGUUUAGAUUUCGACUUAGAAGACGCUGCGUAAAAUGUUCCUAAACAUUAAUUUGUUAAACACUUGAAUGAAUGCGGAAAUACCCGAAAAAAUAGAAUCCGUUCAAGAUAAAUAUUUUCUUCUUGUUUGUUGUUUUUU
Molecule: non-coding RNA, 387 nt
Organism: Biomphalaria pfeifferi
Lineage: Eukaryota; Metazoa; Mollusca; Gastropoda; Planorbidae
Source: the annotation of a GenBank genome assembly